CACGGGGGGAGCAAGCGUUGUUCGGAUUCAUUGGGCGUAAAGGGCUCGUAGGCGGCCAACUAAGUCGGACGUGAAAUCCCUCGGCUUAACCGGGGAACUGCGUCCGAUACUGGAUGGCUCGAGUAUGGGAGAGGGAAGUGGAAUUCCUGGUGUAGAGGUGAAAUUCGUAGAUAUCAGGAGGAACACCAGCGGCGAAGGCGGCUUCCUGGCCCAUUACUGACGUUCAGGCACGAAAGCGUGGGGAGCAAACAGG
This 253-nucleotide ribosomal RNA is filed under the name uncultured bacterium. Its description in RNAcentral is "partial 16S ribosomal RNA". It matches the Rfam family "Bacterial small subunit ribosomal RNA", at positions 524 to 776 of the family's 1533-position model. The record is from RNAcentral.